GGGCCGGUGGCGGAACAGGCAGACGCGCGUGGCUUAGGACCACGUGGGGCAACCCGUGGGGGUUCGAAUCCCCCCCGGCCCA
RNAcentral lists this transfer RNA (82 nucleotides) under Thermoflexus sp. RNAcentral describes it as "tRNA-Leu". It matches the Rfam family "tRNA". Rfam says of the family: Transfer RNA (tRNA) molecules are approximately 80 nucleotides in length. Their secondary structure includes four short double-helical elements and three loops (D, anti-codon, and T loops). Lineage: Bacteria; Bacillati; Chloroflexota; Thermoflexia; Thermoflexales; Thermoflexaceae. The record is from RNAcentral.